UUAGUUUAUUUAACUAUUUUCAGAUUUAACAUGGUUAAAAGAGUUUUGUGUAGGCUACUGACGAGCACUGGCCAGAGGUCAGAACCCCCGGCGGUCCGGUUAAAGACGGGCCCGCCAAAGCAACAUGGUAGUUAUACAAAGGGUUGGAGAUCGGGCCUAGAAGACCCCAACUCAUUAAUGAUCCUUCCGCAGGUUCACCUACGGAAA
This 207-nucleotide unclassified non-coding RNA is filed under the name uncultured fungus. RNAcentral describes it as "sequence contains ITS1, 5.8S rRNA gene". The record is from RNAcentral. Lineage: Eukaryota; Fungi.